This 500-nucleotide ribosomal RNA is filed under the name uncultured bacterium. RNAcentral describes it as "partial 16S ribosomal RNA". It matches the Rfam family "Bacterial small subunit ribosomal RNA", at positions 30 to 523 of the family's 1533-position model. The record is from RNAcentral.
AUUGAACGCUGGCGGCAUGCCUUACACAUGCAAGUCGAACGGCAGCACGGGAGCAAUCCUGGUGGCGAGUGGCGAACGGGUGAGUAAUAUAUCGGAACGUGCCCAGUCGUGGGGGAUAACGCAGCGAAAGCUGUGCUAAUACCGCAUACGAUCUAUGGAUGAAAGCGGGGGAUCGCAAGACCUCGCGCGAUUGGAGCGGCCGAUAUCAGAUUAGCUAGUUGGUAAGGUAAAGGCUCACCAAGGCGACGAUCUGUAGCUGGUCUGAGAGGACGACCAGCCACCAUGGAACUGAGACACGGUCCAGACUCCUACGGGAGGCAGCAGUGGGGAAUUUUGGACAAUGGGCGAAAGCCUGAUCCAGCAAUGCCGCGUGCAGGAUGAAGGCCUUCGGGUUGUAAACUGCUUUUGUACGGAACGAAACGGUGAGCUCUAAUACAGUUUGCUAAUGACGGUACCGUAAGAAUAAGCACCGGCUAACUACGUGCCAGCCGCCGCCGUAA